Xyrichtys novacula (pearly razorfish) is the source of this 836-nucleotide non-coding RNA. The record is from the annotation of a GenBank genome assembly. NCBI's taxonomy places the organism in Eukaryota, Metazoa, Chordata, Actinopteri, Labriformes, Labridae.
ACCAGAUUUCAUUUGUAUAUGCACUGUUCAUCCUUUUUCAUUGACCAGGUGGCUUGAUUGUUGUUUUGGCAAAGUGUGUCGCCGAAGCCACUAUGUUUUCUGCGAUUUUAUCUAUAAGUACCUUCAUAGCUCAGUUGGUAGAGCACAUGACUUGAAGAAGUUCCUGAAACGCUGUGGUCCAAAGGUCCCUGGUUCAACUCCAGCUCCAAGCACCAGAUUUCAUUUGUAUAUGCACUGUUCAUCCUUUUUCAUUGACCAGGUGGCUUCAUUGUUGUGUUGGCAAAGUGUGUCGCCGAAGCCACUAUGUUUUCUGCGUUUUUAUCUAUAAGUACCUUCAUAGCUCAGUUGGUAGAGCACAUGACUUUAAGAAGUUCCUGAAACGCUGUGGUCCAAAGGUCACUGGUUCAACUCCUGCUCCAAACACCAGAUUUCAUUGGUCUAUACACUGUUCAACCUUUUUCAUUGACCAUGUUGGUUCAAUAGUUAUGUUGGCAAAGUGUGUCGCCGAAGCCACUAUGUUUUCUGCGUUUUUAUCUAUAAGCACCUUCAUAGCUCAGUUGGUAGAGCACAUGACUUUAAGAAGUUCCUGAAAUGCUGUGGUCCAAAGGUCGCUGUUUCAACUCCAGCUCCAAGCACCAGAUUUCAUUUGUAUAUGCACUGUUCAUCCUUUUUCAUUGACCAGGUGGCUUGAUUGUUGUUUUGGCAAAGUGUGUCGCCGAAGCCACUAUGUUUUCUGCGAUUUUAUCUAUAAGUACCUUCAUAGCUCAGUUGGUAGAGCACAUGACUUGAAGAAGUUCCUGAAACGCUGUGGUCCAAAGGUCCCUGGUUCAACUCCA